RNAcentral lists this ribosomal RNA (439 nucleotides) under uncultured bacterium. Its description in RNAcentral is "partial 16S ribosomal RNA". It matches the Rfam family "Bacterial small subunit ribosomal RNA", at positions 339 to 795 of the family's 1533-position model. The record is from RNAcentral.
CUACGGGCCGCUGCAGUGAGGAAUAUUGCACAAUGGGGGGAACCCUGAUGCAGCAACGCCGCGUGGAGGAUGACGCAUUUCGGUGUGUAAACUCCUUUUAUAUGUCAAGAAAAUGACGGUAGCAUAUGAAUAAGCACCGGCUAACUCCGUGCCAGCAGCCGCGGUAAUACGGAGGGUGCAGGCGUUACUCGGAAUCACUGGGCGUAAAGGACGCGUAGGCGGGUUGGAAAGUCAGGUGUGAAAUCCUACAGCUUAACUGUAGAGCUGCACUUGAAACUUCUAAUCUAGAGUAUGGGAGGGGGAGAUGGAAUUAGUGGUGUAGGGGUAAAAUCCGUAGAUAUCACUAGGAAUACCUAAAGCGAAGGCGAUCUCCUGGAACAUUACUGACGCUAAGGCGUGAAAGCGUGGGGAGCAAACAGGAUUAGAUACCCUUGUAGUC